GCAUAUCAAUAAGCGGAGGAAAAGAAACCAACAGGGAUUGCCCUAGUAACGGCGAGUGAAGCGGCAACAGCUCAAAUUGAAUCUGGCCUCGGCCCGAGUUGUAAUUGCAGAGGAUGCUCUGGCGCGGUGCCUUCCGAGUUCCCUGGAACGGGACGCCACAGAGGGUGAGAGCCCCGUAUGGUCGGACACCAAGCCUGUGUGAAGCUCCUUCGACGAGUCGAGUAGUUUGGGAAUGCUGCUCUAAAUGGGAGGUAAAUCUCUUCUAAAGCUAAAUACCGGCCAGAGACCGAUAGCGCACAAGUAGAGUGAUCGAAAGAUGAAAAGCACCUUGAAAAGGGGGUUAAAUAGUACGUGAAAUUGUUGAAAGGGAAGCACUUGUGACCAGACUUGGGCCGGGCGGCUCAUCAGGGGUUCUCCCCUGUGCACUCCGCCCGGCACAGGCCAGCAUCGGUUCCCGUGGGGGGAUAAGACCGCCAGGAACGUAGCACCCUCCGGGGUGUGUUAUAGCCUGGCGGACGAUACCCCCGUGGGGACCGAGGUUCGCGCUCCGCAAGGAUGCUGGCGUAAUGGUCAUCAGUGACCCGUCUUGAAACACGGACCAAGGAGUCGUCCAUUAGAGCGAGCGUUUGGGUGUAAAACCCGCACGCGUAAUGAAAGUGAACGCAGGUGAGAGCUUCGGCGCAUCAUCGACCGAUCCUGAUGUUCUCGGAAGGAUUUGAGUAAGAGUUUUAACGGACGGACCCGAAAGACAGUGAACUAUGCUUGUAUAGGGUGAAGCCAGAGGAAACUCUGGUGGAGGCUCGCAGCGGUUCUGACGUGCAAAUCGAUCGUCAAAUAUGAGCAUGGGGGCGAAAGACUAAU
Molecule: ribosomal RNA, 861 nt
Filed under: Cryptodiaporthe vepris
Lineage: Eukaryota; Fungi; Ascomycota; Sordariomycetes; Diaporthales; Gnomoniaceae
Description: LSU rRNA
Rfam family: Eukaryotic large subunit ribosomal RNA
Source: RNAcentral